This 75-nucleotide transfer RNA is filed under the name Candidatus Ryanbacteria bacterium RIFCSPLOWO2_12_FULL_47_9c. RNAcentral describes it as "tRNA-Arg". It matches the Rfam family "tRNA". Rfam says of the family: Transfer RNA (tRNA) molecules are approximately 80 nucleotides in length. Their secondary structure includes four short double-helical elements and three loops (D, anti-codon, and T loops). The record is from RNAcentral. Lineage: Bacteria; Candidatus Ryaniibacteriota.
CUCCUCGUAGUUCAAUGGAUAGAACAACUCCGUCCUAAGGGGUUGAUGGGGGUUCGAUUCCCUCCGAGGAGACAA